Molecule: small nuclear RNA, 107 nt
Filed under: Tursiops truncatus (common bottlenose dolphin)
Lineage: Eukaryota; Metazoa; Chordata; Mammalia; Artiodactyla; Delphinidae
Source: RNAcentral
GUGCUUGCUUCGGCAGCACGUAUACUAAAACUGGAACGAUACAGAGAAGAUUAGCAUGGCCCCUCCGCAAGGAUGACAUGCAAAUUCGUGAAGCGUUCCGUAUUUUU